RNAcentral lists this ribosomal RNA (497 nucleotides) under uncultured bacterium. RNAcentral describes it as "partial 16S ribosomal RNA". It matches the Rfam family "Bacterial small subunit ribosomal RNA", at positions 36 to 507 of the family's 1533-position model. The record is from RNAcentral.
UCUUCCCUCUUUCUUCGUGCCUAAUACAUGCAAGUCGAGCGAACGGACGAGAAGCUUGCUUCUCUGAUGUUAGCGGCGGACGGGUGAGUAACACGUGGAUAACCUACCUAUAAGACUGGGAUAACUUCGGGAAACCGGAGCUAAUACCGGAUGAUAUUUUGAACCGCAUGGUUCAAAAGUGAAAGACGGUCUUGCUGUCACUUAUAGAUGGAUCCGCGCUGCAUUAGCUAGUUGGUAAGGUAACGGCUUACCAAGGCAACGAUGCAUAGCCGACCUGAGAGGGUGAUCGGCCACCCUGGAACUGAGCCACGGUCCAGACUCCUACGGGAGGCAGCAGUAGGGAAUCUUCCGCAAUGGGCGAAAGCCUGACGGAGCAACGCCGCGUGAGUGAUGAAGGUCUUCGGAUCGUAAAACUCUGUUAUUAGGGAAGAACAUAUGUGUAAGUAACUGUGCACAUCUUGACGGUACCUAAUCAGAAAGCCACGGCUAACUACGUG